GUGGCUUCCGGAGCUAACGCGUUAAGUCGACCGCCUGGGGAGUACGGCCGCAAGGUUAAAACUCAAAUGAAUUGACGGGGGCCCGCACAAGCGGUGGAGCAUGUGGUUUAAUUCGAUGCAACGCGAAGAACCUUACCUGGUCUUGACAUCCACGGAAGUUUUCAGAGAUGAGAAUGUGCCUUCGGGAACCGUGAGACAGGUGCUGCAUGGCUGUCGUCAGCUCGUGUUGUGAAAUGUUGGGUUAAGUCCCGCAACGAGCGUAACCCUUAUCCUUUGUUGCCAGCGGUCCGGCCGGGAACUCAAAGGAGACUGCCAGUGAUAAACUGGAGGAAGGUGGGGAUGACGUCAAGUCAUCAUGGCCCUUACGACCAGGGCUACACACGUGCUACAAUGGCGCAUACAAAGAGAAGCGACCUCGCGAGAGCAAGCGGACCUCAUAAAGUGCGUCGUAGUCCGGAUUGGAGUCUGCAACUCGACUCCAUGAAGUCGGAAUCGCUAGUAAUCGUGGAUCAGAAUGCCACGGUGAAUACGUUCCCGGGCCUUGUACACACCGCCCGUCACACCAUGGGAGUGGGUUGCAAAAGAAGUAGGUAGCUUAACCUUCGGGAGGGCGCUUACCACUUUGUGAUUCAUGACUGGGGUGAAGUCGUAACAAGGUAACCGUAGGGGAACCUGCGGUUGGAUCACCUCCUUACCUUAAAGAAGC
This 706-nucleotide ribosomal RNA is filed under the name Shigella flexneri. RNAcentral describes it as "bacterial SSU rRNA". It matches the Rfam family "Bacterial small subunit ribosomal RNA", at positions 839 to 1533 of the family's 1533-position model. The record is from RNAcentral. Lineage: Bacteria; Pseudomonadati; Pseudomonadota; Gammaproteobacteria; Enterobacterales; Enterobacteriaceae.